RNAcentral lists this ribosomal RNA (827 nucleotides) under uncultured bacterium. Its description in RNAcentral is "bacterial SSU rRNA". It matches the Rfam family "Bacterial small subunit ribosomal RNA", at positions 63 to 881 of the family's 1533-position model. The record is from RNAcentral.
CGAGGGGCAGCAUGAAAGUUUGCUUGCAAACUUUUGAUGGCGACCGGCGCACGGGUGAGUAACACGUAUCCAACCUGCCUCAUACUCGGGGAUAGCCUUUCGAAAGAAAGAUUAAUACCCGAUGUCAUAGUCCUACCGCAUGAUGGGAUUAUUAAAGAAUUUCGGUAUGGGAUGGGGAUGCGUUCCAUUAGUUAGUUGGCGGGGUGACGGCCCACCAAGACAACGAUGGAUAGGGGUUCUGAGAGGAAGGUCCCCCACAUUGGAACUGAGACACGGUCCAAACUCCUACGGGAGGCAGCAGUGAGGAAUAUUGGUCAAUGGACGAGAGUCUGAACCAGCCAAGUAGCGUGAAGGAUGACUGCCCUAUGGGUUGUAAACUUCUUUUAUAUGGGAAUAAAACGUUCCACGUGUGGAAUUUUGUAUGUACCAUAUGAAUAAGGAUCGGCUAACUCCGUGCCAGCAGCCGCGGUAAUACGGAGGAUCCGAGCGUUAUCCGGAUUUAUUGGGUUUAAAGGGAGCGUAGGUGGAUUGUUAAGUCAGUUGUGAAAGUUUGCGGCUCAACCGUAAAAUUGCAGUUGAAACUGGCAGUCUUGAGUACAGUAGAGGUGGGCGGAAUUCGCGGUGUAGCGGUGAAAUGCUUAGAUAUCACGAAGAACUCCGAUUGCGAAGGCAGCUCACUGGGCUGCAACUGACACUGAGGCUCGAAAGUGUGGGUAUCAAACAGGAUUAGAUACCCUGGUAGUCCACACAGUAAACGAUGAAUACUCGCUGUUUGCGAUAUACAGCAAGCGGCCAAGCGAAAGCAUUAAGUAUUCCACCUGGGGAGU